UGGGGAAUCUUGCGCAAUGGGCGAAAGCCUGACGCAGCGACGCCGCGUGCGGGAAGAAGGCCUUCGGGUUGUAAACCGCUUUCAGGAGGGAAGCGGUACCUCCAGAAGAAGCCCCGGCAACUACGUGCCAGCAGCCGCGGUAAUACGUAGGGGGCAAGCGUUGUCCGGAAUUAUUGGGCGUAAAGAGCUCGUAGGCGGUCCUUUAAGUCGGAAGUGAAAUCUCAAGGCUCAACCUUGAAACCGCUUCGUAUACUGGAGGACUUGAGGCAGGUAGGGGAGAGUGGAGUUCCUGGUGUAGCGGUGAAAAGCGCAGAUAUCAGGAGGAACACCAGUGGCGAAGGACGGCGUCUCGCCGUGUCUGACGCUGAGGAGCGAAAGCGU
RNAcentral lists this ribosomal RNA (381 nucleotides) under uncultured bacterium. RNAcentral describes it as "bacterial SSU rRNA". It matches the Rfam family "Bacterial small subunit ribosomal RNA", at positions 355 to 762 of the family's 1533-position model. The record is from RNAcentral.